UUGAACGCUGGCGGCAUGCCUUACACAUGCAAGUCGAACGGCAGCACGGGGGCAACCCUGGUGGCGAGUGGCGAACGGGUGAGUAAUACAUCGGAACGUGCCCGGUAGUGGGGGAUAGCUCGGCGAAAGCCGGAUUAAUACCGCAUACGACCUGCGGGUGAAAGCGGGGGAUCGCAAGACCUCGCGCUAUCGGAGCGGCCGAUGUCAGAUUAGGUUGUUGGUGGGGUAAAGGCCUACCAAGCCGACGAUCUGUAGCUGGUCUGAGAGGACGACCAGCCACACUGGGACUGAGACACGGCCCAGACUCCUACGGGAGGCAGCAGUGGGGAAUUUUGGACAAUGGGCGCAAGCCUGAUCCAGCCAUGCCGCGUGCGGGAAGAAGGCCUUCGGGUUGUAAACCGCUUUGUCAGGGAAGAAACGACUCCGGGACGAAUACCUCGGAGUAA
This 446-nucleotide ribosomal RNA is filed under the name uncultured bacterium. RNAcentral's name for it is "bacterial SSU rRNA". It matches the Rfam family "Bacterial small subunit ribosomal RNA", at positions 29 to 470 of the family's 1533-position model. The record is from RNAcentral.